CACAUUACGCUCAAAUAAACCGUAUCGAUUGUCCUGACAUAGUUCGGUGUAGGGAACGAGUUUACCUGGCGACAAGUGACGUGGCGGAUUUUCAUUGGCUGAGGGGAGAUUUUAUAAAACUUCCGCGUCCAUUUCAUAUUUACUCGUCAAAGCGAGUUGUGUCGCCUCCGAGGAUUAAAACUAGAAAACAUUUUUUUUUUACUUCUGCACUUGUGACAUUUAAUCAUGAACUUGCUUUCAUUCUUUCUCCUCCUACAAACACACAGCGUGACGCCUGUUUUUCCAUUCACUGAAGUUUUUAAUGACUGCAUCAUGUCAUGUUCCAAACUUCCCAGAGUUUGUGGAAGUUGGUUCUAUUGAUGAAGUUGAGAUUUGUCACUAUGACAACCACAGCAAGAAAGCAGAAUCACAGCAGAGGAUCCAAACUAGUGGCAGAGAGAAACACGGAUCAGUGUUAAUGAACACAUCAGCAAAGUCGACAUAGAAAUGUAUGGGAAGAUCCUCAACCAAACUGAAGAGUCUCCAGAGGUGUUCCUCCUCCGGAAGACGCCGUCCUUUCCGGUCAGCUGCUUCGCCACGGGCUUCUACCCCGACCGAGCCGUCAUGUUCUGGAGGAAAGACAGCGAGGAGCAUGGAGAGCUCCUCUCCAACCACGACGGAACCUUCCUGAGGUGAAAGUGGAGGUGACGGAGGUACGAAUGUGUGUUCCAGCUGUCUGGCGUCGAGGAGGACCUGGUCACCAAGCUGGAGAGAAGAAGCAUCCUGAGCAACGCCAGCGAUAAAGGCAACGUGGCGGUCCUCGGUGGGGCGGGCCUCCUGGCGGCCGUCAUCGUCUUCAUCAUCAUCAAGCGGCGCAAACGCAGACAAGCCGAAUACCAUCCGGCUCCUGCUGACGGUGGUAACGAGCUCCCAGAGAGACCUGAAGGCUGAGUGAGAGCACACAGUGACUUAUCUCACAUGGACUUGUCUCAUGUUCUUCUGACUUUGUGUGAAGAUGAUGUUCCACUUGGCUCUCAUGGCGCUCACUCUGCCACACGCUAACUUCUGCACUUGGAUUUUUGUUGGGAAUGUGCUGAGUCGUCUUCUUCCUGCAGGAUGCUUUGUGCACUGGAACACAGAGAUGUCUCCAUCGCUGAGGGACGUCAUCACACUUCACUGACAUUUGCACAAAUUGCUCCUCAUGUUAUAUGAUGUCUUCUUUGGCUGUUUAUGCCCCCCAAAUCCUAAGUGUCUAAUAUGCAGCUAAGAUUGAGGGAUGGACGAGCAGGGGACAAGACAGGAGGACUGGAGCCCCAUAGGAGGUAUCCUC
Molecule: long non-coding RNA, 1309 nt
Organism: Entelurus aequoreus (snake pipefish)
Lineage: Eukaryota; Metazoa; Chordata; Actinopteri; Syngnathiformes; Syngnathidae
Exons: 6
Source: RefSeq, a predicted model, not a curated record